CGCACAUUUACUCUUAGUGGUAAUCUUUGGUGGGAGGCAGUCAUGGGAGUCAGUAAUGAGUAUGGAGAAACAAAAGAAAUGGGUUUUUUAUCAACUGACGAAAUUUAUUGCCCUCAAAGAAAUUCAACCUGCUCAAAUAAUGAAAAUUUUGCGUCAAAGACCCAACAACACUCAAUUCUCGACGAUAUAAGCCAAGAGCAGUUGACCAGAAAAACCAUUCAAUAUUACUCCAAAGGUCCGUGGAUCUCAAAGAUGAUUGUAACCUAUUAUUUAAACGAAAGAAAAGUCACAGAAGAAGUAAGUGGUGAUGGAGAGAGAGUGAAUAUUUCUGCAAGCGCAACAAAUGUCGAAGUGAGAUUUAAAGUUAUGCGUCCAUUUUGGGGCGACGUCAUGAAGUACGACCGUUUUACAAAUACCUGGUCGAAACCGUAUACACCUCAUAUCUUCCGAUACGAGAAAGCCACUGGUCGCACAUUUACUCUUAAUGGUAAUCUUUGGUGGGAGGCAGUUAUGAGAGUAACUGAUGAAUACCACGAGGAAACAAAUGAAAUGGGCGAAAUUUAGAAAGGUAUUGCCAGCGGAAGCAAUGAUUGGGAAACGUUCUGUUAACAUAGAACAAUUAAGUCAUUGCUGAACUAAAUGAUAAUUGACCCUACCUGAGAUUAAGUGUACUUGUAAAUACAACGUAUAAAUCAUCAUUAUUCAAAUGGUGGAGACAGCAAUGGCUCUCACAAAAUGAUUUUUAAGAAAAUAGUUUUCUUUGGACAUUUAUCUUAUACCAGUAUGCUUUUGUGCAUAAUGUAAUCAUUAAAUAGUAAUUUUUCAUUGUUCUUCGAAA
This is a long non-coding RNA of Xenia sp. Carnegie-2017, 838 nucleotides long. RefSeq lists it as uncharacterized. The transcript is spliced from 2 exons. The record is from RefSeq and is a predicted model, not a curated record. NCBI's taxonomy places the organism in Eukaryota, Metazoa, Cnidaria, Anthozoa, Malacalcyonacea, Xeniidae.